UACAGAGGCGGCAAGCGUUGUUCGGAAUUACUGGGCGUAAAGGGCGCGUAGGCGGCCUUCUAAGUCAGACGUGAAAUCCCCCGGCUUAACCUGGGAACUGCGUCUGAUACUGGGAGGCUUGAGUAUGGGAGAGGGAUGUAGAAUUCCAGGUGUAGCGGUGAAAUGCGUAGAUAUCUGGAGGAAUACCGGUGGCGAAGGCGGCAUCCUGGACCAUAACUGACGCUGAGGCGCGAAAGCCAGGGGAGCAAACGGG
This 253-nucleotide ribosomal RNA is filed under the name uncultured bacterium. RNAcentral describes it as "partial 16S ribosomal RNA". It matches the Rfam family "Bacterial small subunit ribosomal RNA", at positions 524 to 776 of the family's 1533-position model. The record is from RNAcentral.